This is a long non-coding RNA of Peromyscus eremicus (cactus mouse), 1181 nucleotides long. RefSeq lists it as uncharacterized. The record is from RefSeq and is a predicted model, not a curated record. The transcript has 2 exons. Lineage: Eukaryota; Metazoa; Chordata; Mammalia; Rodentia; Cricetidae.
UGUGUGCGCGUGCGCGUGGCACAUGUACACAGCAUGUAUGUGUGACAGUGCAUGUCAAGAGCUUAGACAGCGUGGGUGACCUGAUUCUCUCUCUCUACCACAUGGAACCUGGGGAUGAAACUCAAGUCAUCAGGCCUGAUAGCAAGCACCUUUACAGCUGAGCCGUCUCAUCAGCCUCGGCCUCUAACCCUUUAUCUUCCCGCCUCCGCCUCCUAACUGCUGCAUGGGACACCACGCCCAGCUUUAUUCUUUUGAACAUCUCGGGAUAAGCUUCCCACCUAGGCAUCCAGAAUGAGAAAGAACAAGACCGAACAGUCCCUUCCGUAGGGAGGGAGCAGCAACUGGGCACGGGUGUGCACAGGAUGUGGUUGUCACUGGCAGAGGCAAUGGAGAAGACAGGCUAGUGGGAAAGCCAACAGCGAGGGUUCUGCUCCACCCUGGGAGGCAAGGAAGGCUGCUCUAGGAAGUCUCUCUCGAAGAGUAAUCGGAGCAGGGAAGCAGGCUGGGGGAGUACAGAGAACCUUCUGGAUGGAACAGCAUACCCAAAGGCCUGAAGUCUUGCUGUCUGGCCCAGGCUUCCCGAUAUUGGGUAGCAAUUAGCUCUUUAAGACACAGGAUGUUCACCAGGCGGUGGUGGCACACGCCUUUAAUCCCAGCACUCAGGAGGCAGAGCCAAGUGGAUCUCUGUGAGUUUGAGGCCAGCCUGGUCUACAGAACGAGAUCCAGGACAGGCACCAAAACUACACAGAGAAACCCUGUCUCAAACAAAACAAAACAAGACACAGGAUGUUCUAAUGGGAGGUGGAACACUCCAUCCAACAGGGAACUCCUUAAACUCAGCAAGUACCAACUCAAAGCUUCAGGAAGUCCUUGAAACUGACCAGACUCACCGGCCCCUCGCUCCCAAGCAUAUGGAAGCUGUGAGGACUGAAAGACACUCUCAGAAGAGCUGAGCUGUGUAGAGCAAGCUGAGGCCAAGUGGCCUCCCUGGAAAAAGGACACUCUCUCCAGCUUGCCAAGCUGCCCGCAGGCUGCGUACACACCGACUCCCAGCUUUGAUGAGCUCUCAGCCCCUCGGUGGGCUCUGGUGAUGCAGCUGUCUGUGAGUCGUUUCUGCUCCUGUAAAUAACCCCUCACUCAUACUCCUAUACGUAACCCCAAUAAAACGCACUAGGUCCCCA